Molecule: long non-coding RNA, 2247 nt
Organism: Ostrea edulis (European flat oyster)
Lineage: Eukaryota; Metazoa; Mollusca; Bivalvia; Ostreida; Ostreidae
Exons: 2
Source: RefSeq, a predicted model, not a curated record
CUGAUCCCAUCUCUAGUGUGUGCAGGGGUCCGUGUUUGCACAAGUAUCUACAUUGAUCACUGUUCGUUAUUUUCACAUUUCAUUGUAAAAUUUGAUCUGAAUGGGGUGGUAGUAUAAAUUUGGUACUUUGUGUCAACAAAAACUGAUUUAAUGCUUUAUCUUGAAUGAUGUUCAACCUAAAUAGAAACGCAUUGAUGAUGUAGUUUUUUAAUAAACAAACAAAAAGUUAUGGGGUCUUACACGCAUGCAUGCACAUUAUUUACCGUUUGUAUAUACUUGUCAAUAUUCAAAGAAUGUUGGAAGAGUUGCAUUUACAUUGGCUAGUCUAUAGAUUGCAGUCAACCUGUCAGUUACGAUACAAUCGUCCAAGUAUAUUCGGUCAAUUAGACUUUUUCUAUCAUAUCCUACCCUCACUCCUCGGUUGUUGACUGUUGUCAGUUAUUUUCGUUGUUGUUAUCAAUAAUGAAAAAUAUAAAGCAAUAAAUGUAAUUUACCAUUUGAUAUUCAAAUCAUUUUAAAAAACAUACGCCUGACAGAAAAAGCAAAAUAUUAAACGAAAGGAGAAUAUAUUGUCAUGCGAUUUACGAACCUAAUUUAAAAGCUGUACUCAGUGGUUUUAAGUUAAAGGACAUAUAAUAAAAUAAACAAAAGUAUAUAUUUUCAGUCAAGGUAAUUUGCUGAUUGUUGUCCAGUUUUACUUGUAAUCUAAUUUUUUUAACUGAUGGGAGGCACAACAGUUUGAUCGGCCAAAAAUUGUUGAUAAUGCAAACAAGUCUCUGGUGGUUGUACUCGCUCAUAAAUCUGACAAUUUUUGAAUCCAUAUGUCUGAUUCACUGAAUGUUUUAAACUGAAAAUAUGGAAGUAAUUUCAAUCCAUUGUGAAGAUAUCCCUGUAUGUAUAUUAUAAUUACUAUGUUUUGCUUUGACGGGGUUCAUUUUUGGUUUGUUGUUCAUACAAGUUACAAUUCACAGAUCCAAUUUCGACAUUACGUGAGUAAACAUUCUGCACAAUCGAUCCAUACUUGUACCUUUAUAUGCCUAUAUUUACAGGUUUUUAGUACCACCUAUCUGUGUAAUCAUUACCAAAUAUGGAACGUCAUCAAGGUCAAAGGGUGCAUUGGCUGUUCUGUUUAACGUAACGAAUAGGUCAACCAUAUGAUAUGUUAAUACGAUACUUUAGCCACCUGAAAUGUGCAAUACUCACGGAGCCCAUUCCUUCUGACACACCUUAAAGAUGAGGGGAUAACCCCGAAAAGGUGAACCAAAGAUGGUACCUGCUCUGCCCAAAAAGAUUUGCUGUAGACCGCAUAUUGAUAUGAUUUUUUGUUUUGUGAAAGCCUCAACGCAGAGGGGAAAGGGGCAAUACAAUUUAAGCAUCCCACGCAAUUGAAUGAUUAUUAUUUUUUAUUUUUUUUGGCACUUUUUAGAUUUUAAAACAUAGUACAGUUAAUGUAGUUAUAUAUACAAAACUCCAACACGUUAUACCUGUAACAUUUUAUGUUUUAUCUAUAAAGGUUCUGAUUCAUUGCGUGAUGAUAGACACAUUAAUAAUACAGUAAAAUGAUUUAUUAAAAAAAAAAAACCUUGUGGAAUUGUAUUAUGCAGAGCUUGGUCUUUCUAUCAUUGUGGUGGCGAAAGUACAUUGUAGAGUUACCCCGCUUUGUACAUGUAUUUUGUUUUAAAAUGCAGCACAUACGCACACAGUGAGAGAGAGAGAGAGGGGGGGGGGGGGUAACAAGACUUGCUUAGAUUUGACAGGAUCAAUCAACAGUCGUACAGCCCGGACCUACGCCCGACGGAUUCCGCCCUCAUCCGUUACUUGAAAACGGAACCGAAGGCCAACAAUCCCUGAAUUUAGAUCAGAUGAAACGCAAGGCAUUGCAGAUCAUCGCUCGUUUAGAUAAAACGUUUCAAUAAAGGAUUUCAAAAGUGGAUUGAUCGACAUAAGAAAUGUAUUGAACAUGAUGGCAAGUGUUUUGAAUAGGAAUGACAUGUUGGUAAAUGUACAUACAUUUUGUACAUACAUACUUGUUAUACAUAUACUGUGUUUCUAGACAGUUUUAAUUUCCUGCACACUUUUUUUCUGUAUUUGGUCUUUCGAUUGUCACUUUUUCCCUUCUGUUCUUGAGCUUGUAUGUCCGACAAGGCCAAUAUUUGGAUUUGUAAAUAAAAUAAAUAUUGUACAUAUACUUGCUUGAGGGACAACGCUGUCAACGACAUAUAAUUAUGUAAAAACAAUCAUAUGCGU